UGGGGAAUUUUGGACAAUGGGGGCAACCCUGAUCCAGCAAUGCCGCGUGUAGGAUGACGGUCCUAUGGAUUGUAAACUGCUUUUGUACAGGAAGAAACAGUUCUACGUGUAGAACCUUGACGGUACUGUAAGAAUAAGGAUCGGCUAACUCCGUGCCAGCAGCCGCGGUAAUACGGAGGAUCCAAGCGUUAUCCGGAAUCAUUGGGUUUAAAGGGUCCGUAGGCGGUUAGAUAAGUCAGUGGUGAAAGCCCAUCGCUCAACGGUGGAACGGCCAUUGAUACUGUCUGACUUGAAUUAUUAGGAAGUAACUAGAAUAUGUAGUGUAGCGGUGAAAUGCUUAGAGAUUACAUGGAAUACCAAUUGCGAAGGCAGGUUACUACUAAUGGAUUGACGCUGAUGGACGAAAGCGUGGGUAGCGAACAGGAUUAGAUACCCUUGUAGUCCCUGAGCGGGCUGGCAAGGCGCAU
Molecule: ribosomal RNA, 467 nt
Filed under: uncultured bacterium
Lineage: Bacteria
Description: bacterial SSU rRNA
Rfam family: Bacterial small subunit ribosomal RNA
Source: RNAcentral